RNAcentral lists this long non-coding RNA (512 nucleotides) under Dicentrarchus labrax (European seabass). RNAcentral's name for it is "lncRNA (ENSDLAG00005028899.1)". The record is from RNAcentral. Lineage: Eukaryota; Metazoa; Chordata; Actinopteri; Moronidae.
AUGUCAGCUGUGCAGUUCGGCGUGCUGUUCUCAAGGCUGCCAGAAAAUGAAGUUAAAGUUUAUAGAGACAUGCAGAGAAUGAGCUGGGUCCCAGUAGAUCUGCUUCUUACAACAGGGGGGACUCCCAAACCUAAUAUCCACAACACAGAACCUCCUGCUGUAAAGGUGAGCCUCCGUAUGAAAAUAUGCACUCUUCAAUCAUUGCUUUUAUGAAUAUGAUACAGACAGGCCAUAAGAUAAACCAGCUGUAUAUCAUAUGGAGAGGUCACAAAGCUUUAUUGUUGCAGUGUAAAUCUACUGCAGGUUUCUAUAUCUGGACAUUAAACUGAGGUCUGGUAGGAUGAUACAGAUGAGAAUGGUGUCUGGAAUGUCACUUAGUUUGGGAAGUACAUUUAAACUUACUGUAUAUGCAGCCUUUACUGUACUGAAUCUGAUCAUCCUACACUAAGUCAUUACCCUUCUGCCUCCGGGCACAGUUGGUGACCACGCCGUGUGUGUGCAUUUGUACGCGU